UACGGGGGGAGCAAGCGUUGUUCGGAUUUACUGGGCGUAAAGGGCGCGUAGGCGGUCGUGCCAAGUCACUUGUGAAAGCCCCCGGCUCAACUGGGGAGGGUCACUCGAUACUGAUCGACUUGAAGGUGGGAGAGGGAAGCGGAAUUCCCGGUGUAGUGGUGAAAUGCGUAGAUAUCGGGAGGAACACCAGUGGCGAAGGCGGCUUUCUGGCCCAUUCUUGACGCUGAGGCGCGAAAGCUAGGGUAGCAAACGGG
Molecule: ribosomal RNA, 254 nt
Filed under: uncultured bacterium
Lineage: Bacteria
Description: partial 16S ribosomal RNA
Rfam family: Bacterial small subunit ribosomal RNA
Source: RNAcentral